CUCAGUCGGUAGAGCAACGCACUUGUAAUGCGUAGGUCGGGGGUUCGAUUCCGUCCACCA
RNAcentral lists this transfer RNA (60 nucleotides) under Oleiphilus sp. HI0067. RNAcentral's name for it is "tRNA-Thr". It matches the Rfam family "tRNA", at positions 11 to 65 of the family's 71-position model. Rfam says of the family: Transfer RNA (tRNA) molecules are approximately 80 nucleotides in length. The record is from RNAcentral. Lineage: Bacteria; Pseudomonadati; Pseudomonadota; Gammaproteobacteria; Oceanospirillales; Oleiphilaceae.